GACGAACGCUGGCGGCGUGCCUAAUACAUGCAAGUCGAACGCAGUGGGGACGGGUGAGUAACACGUGGGUAACGUCCCAUCAGAGGGGAUAACACUUGGAAACAGGUGCUAAACCGAUACUGGCGGAGGGACCCGGGGUGUAUUCGCUAGUUGGUGACGAAACGGCCUACCAAGGCCACGAUGCAUAGCCGACCUGAGGGGGGAAUCGGCCACACUGGGACUGAGACAGGGCCCAGAUUCCUACGGGAGGCAGCAUUAGGGAAUCUUCGGCAAGGGACGAAAUUCUGACGGGCCAACGCGGCGUGAGUGAAGAAGGUUUUAGGAUCGUAAACCUCUGUGUGUGGAGAAGCGGUAUCUAACCAGAAAGCCACGGCUAACUACGUGCCAGCAGCCGCGGUAAUUC
Molecule: ribosomal RNA, 403 nt
Filed under: uncultured bacterium
Lineage: Bacteria
Description: partial 16S ribosomal RNA
Rfam family: Bacterial small subunit ribosomal RNA
Source: RNAcentral